This 348-nucleotide ribosomal RNA is filed under the name Triticum aestivum (bread wheat). RNAcentral describes it as "partial small subunit ribosomal RNA". Lineage: Eukaryota; Viridiplantae; Streptophyta; Magnoliopsida; Poales; Poaceae. The record is from RNAcentral.
AUGGGCACGACGAGACCGACGAGCGGGGAGAUGCCGGCACCGAACAUCAUCGACCAGGUGCGCGAGGACGCCAUCAUUGCCGCCAUUUUCGGCUCCGUCGCCCACUUCGUCAAGGGCAUCUGCACCUCCCCAAACGGGAGCCGCCUCGCCGGCGGCUUUCUGGCGGUCCCUGAGAACGCGCUCGCCGUCGGCCGUUGGGCAGCCUGGUUUGGCGUUGUCAAGGCGACUAGGUGCACCGUGCUGCAUGUGUCCCCGGUUACCCCUUUGAAAGCACGGUCGCCUUGGGAGUCACCGACACCCUCUUCUCCAUGCAUCACGGGCCACGCGUGGCCCUCCGCAACGGGUUGA